UGGAGCUACUGGGAAUUGUAGGAAUGGGCUGUUUGGGAUGAAAGAAAAUCACUAAGAAAAUUUUCUUGUUGAUAUUUUCUUCCCAAGCCCGCCCAUUCCAAUGAUUUCUAGCGGCUCCUCC
This 121-nucleotide microRNA precursor is filed under the name Prunus persica (peach). RNAcentral describes it as "miR482c stem-loop (ppe-MIR482c)". Its record names the gene ppe-MIR482c. The record is from miRBase by way of RNAcentral. Lineage: Eukaryota; Viridiplantae; Streptophyta; Magnoliopsida; Rosales; Rosaceae.